CCGACGUCGGGCACCACACGCCACAAACCCAACGACACACGAAAACGCCACGUCUCCUUGAAUUCUUCUCUUCCGCGUCUUCUCGUUCGUGACCGAUGGCGCACCCAGACACUCAUCAACGCGUCUACCGACAGUGCGAGACGGGUGGGAGGGGGGGGGUGAGGACACCCAGACACGAGGAGGCAGCAACAGCGCACACAAGAGGGAAGCAGAGAUACCGACGGGCGCGUGCACCGACUCACGUCUCGGUCUGCGUACGCACGUUCCUUGUCUUGGUCGCCUUUUGCUGACAGCUCAUGACCUGGAAAACCGUUCCGCUCCGUCCCCCUCACACAUGCGUGCACCCCAUUUCCUAGCCGCUCCCACCACCUAGCGAAACAGGGCAGCACAAAGAAGGCGUAAGAAGAUGUUCACGUUGGGUGAACCGGGUGUCCACGAGGGUGAGGCCGAUGUGCACAUGCCACCCAGCACGAUUCUGACUUCCAUCAGCAGCAUCUGUGGCAUGCACGUGCCGAUCUCUCUCGGCCACCAAGGCGGUCUCAAGGCGUCUAACCUAGUGAAGAUCAAUCGCCUGUGUCGCACGGGAGUGCAUGAAGGGUAACCCCGAGGUGAGAGAUGCGCUGCAGAGGCCGCCGCAGGGAGUGACUCGUGCAAGUCUGGGAUCCGCAAGGGAGAGCAACUUCGCGGCAUCCACAAAAGCUUGCCUUUCCAUCGGGUUGUAGCGCAAGUAAAACACGCUCGCAAAGCCCUCUGCCCUCGAGGUCACUAUCCGGGGACUCAUUCCACACAUUGUUUCCCUGCUGCACACUCUGGCGUUUGUGUGCGCGGCGGAUGUUGCCAUGGGAGCACUCAGAGGUCGGGCCCCCUUCCACUCGUUUUUCUUUUCGUUCGCGUCUGAGAGAAGUUCCUCCGUCUUGACUUUUCCGUGAGAUGCUGUGCUGCCCUUAUGAGGUGUGCAGUUGUUGGGUGUCUGGCGGUGCUGCGCACUUCGGACCCUGGUGUGACGCAGGCGAAACGUUGACGAGCCUCCGAGGCUCUAGGUGAGGCGGCGCUGCGUCUUCCGGCACUGAAGCGAACUCGUUUCUCAGACUAGUGGAGCACAUGGGAGGUGGCGUCUUCCGUGGAAACCGCUAAACCGGGAACGUGUGAUGGGCUCGUGGGUGUCACAAAGGGAGGUGCCGGAAUACACGUGCCAUGCGCCUCGCGCGCGCGUCUCGGUCGAAUUCGGCGCCAAGGUGCCGACUGAUCAGGUGCGGGCCAGUACCGACUUGACGCACAAGAGCACAACGAUUGACUGACGCCGCACGGCGGGCUGGGAGUUGGCGGCGACGGGGAGGUGGUGGCAAUGUGGCCAUCAUGUGUGCUAAUCGGCCGCUGCCGUCAACGGAGUGAGAAGGCGCCGGCUCUGGGCCUUUGCAUUUUGCCCCUGUCGGCAAAGGGCAUGCGGAUGCGAGCAGGCUUGGACGGAACCGCACGACGACGAAGUGCCGCGGCCCUCCCAUCUUCUCGCGCAUGCGCCGCACGGUGUGGGCUGCCAAGUUCGUGCAGUCUUGCUACCGCCGGCAAAGUUGCGAAGCGACGCAAAGACGCACGCAGUAGCCAUGCUUUUUUUUUUCUUGUCUCUCUCCCUUCGGCCACUCCUCCUCUCCCCUUCCUUCUGUCCAUGUCCGUGUCCGUGCGUGUUCGCGGUGUGCGGAGCAGAAGACGGCCCUCUUUGCGUGCAAUCUAACUUCUUUUCUUUUUCCAGUUCUGCUGCCCUGAGAGAGAAUGCCGCUGUGUGUGCCUGCGUGCGCGUGUGCGUAGGAACUGGCCGCUCUCGAGAAUUGUUUCUAUCUACUCUCUUCUGUGUGCUGCUUCGCGUCGCCGCUUUCACUGCUGCCAACGGAUCAGGUUCCCAUCCUCCAUCCUCCAUCCCCACGCCCGCCUGCUCAGUUUUGCGCGUCAUCUUCGUUGUCCUCCUUUCCUUUGCCGCUGCCUGUGCUCUCUGCCGUUGUGACUCCAGAGAUGAUGCUGGACACAAGUACGAUGGAAAGAAGAGAACCCCCUGCCCCCUGCGCCCUGCCCCAUGCCCACUUUCGCCUUUCACAUCUUGUCGUUGUUUCGUUGCACGUUUUCUGUGCCGCUCCCUCACCGAUGCAUUGCCACGCAAG
Molecule: unclassified non-coding RNA, 2150 nt
Filed under: Leishmania donovani
Lineage: Eukaryota; Euglenozoa; Kinetoplastea; Trypanosomatida; Trypanosomatidae
Description: gene:unknown
Source: RNAcentral